This 1458-nucleotide long non-coding RNA is filed under the name Anthonomus grandis grandis. Its description in RNAcentral is "uncharacterized LOC126743815". Lineage: Eukaryota; Metazoa; Arthropoda; Insecta; Coleoptera; Curculionidae. The record is from RNAcentral.
AUAUUACUAACUUAUUUCUGGGUAUCAUGCUUCAGAGAACCAUGAUGUGUUACAAUACGCUCCGCUCUUUAAUUUUAGUUUAGUAGAAAAUAUUCUCAAAACCUACAUAUAUCAAAAUUAUGUCAGGGUUCUAAAAUGAAUCGGUAAUAAAAUCGUAAACCAGAUCAACAUUGGAAAUAAUUUAAAAAAUUUGCUUUGGUCCGAUUGAAAAAAGUACUAUACUACCAAAUAGUUACAUCUAUUCUGUAGCAAUAAAAGUUAUAAAAUUCUGUCUAUUAUUAAUUUUAAUAUUAUAAAGUGUAUCGUUUAACUCUUAGCCAUUAUUUAUAAUUUAAUUGUUAAUUAUGCCUAAAAAAACGAAUUAACAACUUUGGUAUUGUUUGGAAGGUAAACAGCUUAAUUCCUUUAUGUAAAGCCACCUUAACAUGUUUUUGCAUAAUUCUGACUCACGUUGGUUGCUAUCGGGCUUAAGCCAUAAAAAUCGAAGAAAAAAAGAAGAAGACGAAGAGACUUUCACUUGUCAUUUCAAUGUCACUUUCCGGCCCACAAGCAUAAACGCCACCGGCAACGGAAGUUCCCAAAAUCCAAACAAAUGUUGGAAGAUAUUUUUAAGUCUCCGCAUCUUUCUUACUUUCCUAUAUGAAAAUAAAAUGUAAGUAUCACAAUUACACACAUACAAGUUUUUUUUUUUAAUUCAGUUUCAUAAUUACCAAUUUUUAGUGAAUAAUCCUGAAAUUUAUGAAAAUACAUACAUUUUAAGGUUAUGUCAUAAUGUUUUGAUUGUUAUAUUUGAUUUUGUUUUUGUUAUUUUAGUGGACUACACCAACAAAGGUUAUGUGUUUUGCACCAGAUUGAAAGCAUCAUAGCGAAAAACGGACCUGUCAUAUCUUUAAAUUUUCAAAAGAGCCCCUGGAAAAAGAAAAAUGAAUAUCUUUGCCAAGGAAUAGGCAAAUGGAUAAAAAACCUUCAGUCCAUGCAUUGGUAUGUAAUUGUUGACAAAAAUACAAUGAAUGGCCUCACUACUUUUCCACAUGCAAAGAGGUUAACCAAGGAGAAAUUAAAGAAAUUGUCAAAAACCUAGGUAAAUACAGAAUUGCUUAGUACAAACAUAUCUAUACCCAGUACAAGUUCGUCCACUUCUUUGAAGCAUGGUACUUCAAACAGAGACACUGUCAACAAUUUUGUAGAAGGUGAGCCGGUGUCAAAUUCCAGUAAGGGACAUGAUUUCAAUUUUGCACCAACAGCAGAGCUAAAAUUCAUUUUGCCGCAAAAAACUGGAGGAUGUGAAAGAAAAAAGUGCAGAAGUUAAAAUUAAGUUUUUCAUAUGAGCACAUAAAAAAUAAUCAUGACAAAGUUCAGUUGUAUACAGGUUUGACAUGUAAUAAAUAUUUUUGUAAUCUUAUUAAGUUAAUUAGUUUUAUAUAUUAUUUAAAUAAUAAUUGUAUACUUCACAUAGAA